RNAcentral lists this ribosomal RNA (253 nucleotides) under uncultured bacterium. RNAcentral's name for it is "partial 16S ribosomal RNA". It matches the Rfam family "Bacterial small subunit ribosomal RNA", at positions 524 to 776 of the family's 1533-position model. The record is from RNAcentral.
UACGUAGGGGGCUAGCGUUGUCCGGAUUUAUUGGGCGUAAAGAGCUCGUAGGCGGCUCGUCGCGUCGACCGUGAAAACCCGCGGCUUAACUGCGGGCUUGCGGUUGAUACGGGCGGGCUAGAGUUCGGUAGGGGAGACUGGAAUUCCUGGUGUAGCGGUGAAAUGCGCAGAUAUCAGGAGGAACACCGGUGGCGAAGGCGGGUCUCUGGGCCGAUACUGACGCUGAGGCGCGAAAGCCAGGGGAGCGAAUGGG